AAAUGCAUGGUAGGAGAGCGUCGUAUAAGGGGUGAAGUCAGAGCGUAAGCGUUGGUGGACUUUAUACGAGUGAGAAUGCCGGAAUGAGUAGCGAGAAAUAUGUGAGAAUCAUAUUGGCCGAAAGUCUAAGGUUUUUGGAGGAAGGUUCGUCCGCUCCAAGUAAGCCGGGAGCUAAGGUGAGGCCGAAAGGCGCAGCCGAUGCACAUACGGUAGAUAUUCCGUAGCCGCCAAAAGAUUUAAGUAAGAGGACACCUUGAAAGGACUUGACCGGGCGAUGGUUGCCCCGGGCGAAAGGGACCGAAAUUUAGUAGGGAAGCAAGUUUGGACGAGGGCGAGAAAAGUCUUAUGUAUAUCUUCGGCGCCCGUACCGCAAACCGACACAGGUAGAUAGGAAGAGAAUUCUAAGGCCAACGGGAGAAGGGUAGUUAAGGAACUCGGCAAAUUGACCCCGUAACUUAGGAAUAAGGGGUGCCACAGCGAUGUGGUCGCAGAGAAUAGGCCCAGGCAACUGUUUAUCAAAAACACAGGUCUCUGCCAAAUCGAAAGAUGAAGUAUAGGGGCUGACACCUGCCCGGUGCUGGAAGGUUAAGAGGAGAUGUGCAAGCAUUGAAUUGAAGCCCCAGUAAACGGCGGCCGUAACUAUAACGGUCCUAAGGUAGCGAAAUUCCUUGUCGGGUAAGUUCCGACCCGCACGAAUGGUGUAAUGAUCUGGGCACUGUCUCAAUUACCCGCCCGGCGAAAUUGUAGUACCGGUGAAGAUGCCGGUUACCCGCGACAAGACGGAAAGACCCCAUGGAGCUUUACUGUAGCUUAAUAUUGGGUUUCGAUAAUUUAUGUAUAGGAUAGGCGGGAGACUAGGAAACCGUGGCGCCAGCCACGGCGGAGUCGACGUUGGAAUACCGCUCUUAAGUUAUUGGAAUUCUAACCUGCGGCCAUGAAUCUGGCCGGGGGACAUUGUUAGGUGGGCAGUUUGACUGGGGCGGUCGCCUCCAAAAAGGUAACGGAGGCGCUCAAAGGUUGGCUCAGCAUGGUUGGAAACCAUGCCUUAGAGUGUAAACGCGUAAGCCAGCCUAACUGCGAGGAUGACGGUCCGAGCAGUAACGAAAGUUGGAGUUAGUGAUCCGGCGGUAUGAGAGUGGAAUUGCCGUCGCUCAACGGAUAAAAGCUACCCUGGGGAUAACAGGCUGAUCUCCCCCAAGAGUCCACAUCGACGGGGAGGUUUGGCACCUCGAUGUCGGCUCAUCCCAUCCUGGGGCUGUAUUCGGUCCCAAGGGUUCGGCUGUUCGCCGAUUAAAGUGGUACGCGAGCUGGGUUCAGAACGUCGUGAGACAGUUCGGUCCCUAUCUGUCGUGGGCGCAGGAUAUUUGAGGAGAGCUGUCCUUAGUACGAGAGGACCGGGAUGGACGCACCUCUGGCGCACCAGUUGUCACGCCAGUGGCACAGCUGGGCAACUAUGUGCGGAACGGAUAAACGCUGAAAGCAUCUAAGCGUGAAGCCGACUCCAAGAUUAGAUAUCCCAUAGCGUAAGCUAGUAAGACCCCUUGUAGACUACAAGGUUGAUAGGCUGCAUGUGUAAGCACGGUAACGUGUUCAGCUUGGCAGUACUAAUAGGUCGAGGGCUUGACC
RNAcentral lists this ribosomal RNA (1626 nucleotides) under metagenome. RNAcentral describes it as "bacterial LSU rRNA". It matches the Rfam family "Bacterial large subunit ribosomal RNA", at positions 1219 to 2925 of the family's 2925-position model. The record is from RNAcentral.